This 429-nucleotide ribosomal RNA is filed under the name uncultured archaeon. RNAcentral describes it as "bacterial SSU rRNA". It matches the Rfam family "Archaeal small subunit ribosomal RNA", at positions 474 to 903 of the family's 1478-position model. The record is from RNAcentral.
UACCAGCUCUCCGAGUGGUGUGGAUGUUUAUUGGGCCUAAAGCAUCCGUAGCUAGCUGGGCAAGUCCCCUGUUAAAUCCACCGAUUUAAUCGUUGGUGUGCGGGGGAUACUGUUCGGCUAGGGGACGGGAGAGGCCGACGGUAUUUUCGGGGUAGGGGUGAAAUCCUAUAAUCCCGGGAAGACCACCAGUGGCGAAGGCUGUCGGCUAGAACGCGCCCGACGGUGAGGGAUGAAAGCUGGGGGAGCGAACCGGAUUAGAUACCCGGGUAGUCCCAGCUGUAAACGAUGCAGGCUAGGUGUUUGGGCGGCCACGUGCCGCUCUAGUGCCGCAGAGAAGUCGUUAAGCCUGCCGCCUGGGGAGUACGGCCGCAAGGCUGAAACUUAAAGGAAUUGGCGGGGGAGCACCACAAGGGGUGAAGCUUGCGGUUU